GUGUGGUAGGGAUAUAGUGUUUACUGCACACUGACUGUAACUAGCUAGGUGUGGUAGGGAUAUAGUGUCUUACUGCACACUGACUGUAACUAGCUAGGUAUGGUAGGGAUAUAGUGUUUACUGUACACUGACUGUAACUAGCUAGGUAUGGUAGGGAUAAAGUGUCUUAAUGCACACUGACUGUAACUAGCUAGGUGUGGUAGGGAUAUAGUGUUUACUGUACACUGACUGUAACUAGCUAGGUAUGGUAGGGAUAAAGUGUCUUACUGCACACUGACUGUAACGAGCUAGGUGUGGUAGGGAUAUAGUGUCU
This is a long non-coding RNA of Oncorhynchus keta (chum salmon), 313 nucleotides long. RefSeq lists it as uncharacterized. Lineage: Eukaryota; Metazoa; Chordata; Actinopteri; Salmoniformes; Salmonidae. The transcript has 5 exons. The record is from RefSeq and is a predicted model, not a curated record.